RNAcentral lists this transfer RNA (72 nucleotides) under Nelumbo nucifera (sacred lotus). It matches the Rfam family "tRNA". Rfam says of the family: Transfer RNA (tRNA) molecules are approximately 80 nucleotides in length. Their secondary structure includes four short double-helical elements and three loops (D, anti-codon, and T loops). Lineage: Eukaryota; Viridiplantae; Streptophyta; Magnoliopsida; Proteales; Nelumbonaceae. The record is from Rfam by way of RNAcentral.
ACUUCCGUAGCAUAGUGGUAGUGCGUUCGCUUCAUAAGCGAAAGGUCGCGAGUUCGAUCCUCGCCAAGAGCU